RNAcentral lists this ribosomal RNA (448 nucleotides) under uncultured bacterium. RNAcentral describes it as "SSU rRNA". It matches the Rfam family "Bacterial small subunit ribosomal RNA", at positions 26 to 518 of the family's 1533-position model. The record is from RNAcentral.
AGAGCGAACGCUGGCGGCAGGCUUAACACAUGCAAGUCGAGCGGGCGUAGCAAUACGUCAGCGGCAGACGGGUGAGUAACGCGUGGGAACGUACCUUUUGGUUCGGAACAACACAGGGAAACUUGUGCUAAUACCGGAUAAGCCCUUACGGGGAAAGAUUUAUCGCCGAAAGAUCGGCCCGCGUCUGAUUAGCUAGUUGGUGAGGUAACGGCUCACCAAGGCGACGAUCAGUAGCUGGUCUGAGAGGAUGAUCAGCCACAUUGGGACUGAGACACGGCCCAAACUCCUACGGGAGGCAGCAGUGGGGAAUAUUGGACAAUGGGCGAAAGCCUGAUCCAGCCAUGCCGCGUGAGUGAUGAAGGCCCUAGGGUUGUAAAGCUCUUUUGUGCGGGAAGAUAAUGACGGUACCGCAAGAAUAAGCCCCGGCUAACUUCGCGCCAGCAGCCGC